CUGUUAUAGAGAACUUACGUAUUCAUUGCUGUUUUCUAUUUCUAUUUUUAUUCUUAUAUUUAAAAUUUUUCGUACGAAAAGAGGAAAAUGGACGCUAAUUUUUCGCCGAAAAAUGGGUCUGUCGACAGACCCAAAUUUGAAUAUACGUGCUUUUAUAUACAGUAUAGAUAACUAGGCUACUAUAUAUAUAAUAGCACAGUAGUCCUUG
Molecule: long non-coding RNA, 208 nt
Filed under: Ananas comosus (pineapple)
Lineage: Eukaryota; Viridiplantae; Streptophyta; Magnoliopsida; Poales; Bromeliaceae
Description: long non-coding RNA (ACOM_LNC007570)
Source: RNAcentral